GAUGAACGCUGGCGGCGUGCCUAAUACAUGCAAGUCGAGCGAACAGACGAGGAGCUUGCUCCUCUGACGUUAGCGGCGGACGGGUGAGUAACACGUGGAUAACCUACCUAUAAGACUGGGAUAACUUCGGGAAACCGGAGCUAAUACCGGAUAAUAUAUUGAACCGCAUGGUUCAAUAGUGAAAGAUGGUUUUGCUGUCACUUAUAGAUGGAUCCGCGCCGCAUUAGCUAGUUGGUAAGGUAACGGCUUACCAAGGCGACGAUGCGUAGCCGACCUGAGAGGGUGAUCGGCCACACGGGAACUGAGACUCGGUCCAGACUCCUACGGGAGGCAGCAGUAGGGAAUCUUCCGCGAUGGGCGAAAGCCUGACAGAGCAACGCCGCGUGAGUGAUGAAGGUCUUCGGAUCGUAAAACUCUGUUAUUAGGGAAGAACAAAUGUGUAAGUAACUAUGCACGUCUUGACGGUACCUAAUCAGAAAGCCACGGCUAACUACGUG
This 497-nucleotide ribosomal RNA is filed under the name uncultured bacterium. RNAcentral describes it as "partial 16S ribosomal RNA". It matches the Rfam family "Bacterial small subunit ribosomal RNA", at positions 28 to 507 of the family's 1533-position model. The record is from RNAcentral.